UUUUCCCUGCCGUGUGCGUCAGGACUAGGAAAUGGUUGAACCAACACUUUUUACACGGGAGCUCAAACUCUCUUGGUAAGCCAUCGCGCUUCCUCGAGGAGGCACCCACUUGUGAACAAGGUUCACGCAAUCGGUCCGACGGCAAUGCGCGGGGAUUUU
This 159-nucleotide non-coding RNA is filed under the name Omnitrophica WOR_2 bacterium GWA2_44_7. RNAcentral describes it as "6S RNA". It matches the Rfam family "6S / SsrS RNA". From Rfam's summary of the family: E. coli 6S RNA was the first non coding RNA to be sequenced, but its function was unknown until recently. It consists of 184 nucleotides that fold into an extended hairpin structure with a large single-stranded internal bulge. The 6S RNA specifically associates with RNA polymerase holoenzyme containing the sigma70 specificity factor. RNAcentral also lists the same sequence under 3 other names. The record is from RNAcentral. Lineage: Bacteria; Pseudomonadati; Candidatus Omnitrophota.